CAUCUUCCUUGUUUGGGAAGUAUAAAUCCCGUGGGAAGUCAGCUGAAGAACAUUUUACGCAUCGCUCAUCCUAUUAUGAGCUCAGUGCUCUUCCAUCUUUCUACAAGG
RNAcentral lists this long non-coding RNA (108 nucleotides) under Nannospalax galili (Upper Galilee mountains blind mole rat). Its description in RNAcentral is "Rhabdomyosarcoma 2 associated transcript conserved region 4 (ENSNGAG00000006269.1)". It matches the Rfam family "Rhabdomyosarcoma 2 associated transcript conserved region 4". The record is from RNAcentral. Lineage: Eukaryota; Metazoa; Chordata; Mammalia; Rodentia; Spalacidae.